AACGAACGCUGGCGGCAUGCCUAACACAUGCAAGUCGAACGAGAACUUCGGGCCUAGUGGCGCACGGGUGCGUAACGCGUGGGAACCUGCCCUUAGGUUCGGAAUAACUCCCCGAAAGGGGUGCUAAUACCGGAUAAUGUCUUCGGAGCAAAGAUUUCUCGCCUUUGGAUGGGCCCGCGUUGGAUUAGGUAGUUGGUAGGGUAAAAGCCUACCAAGGCGACGAUCCAUAGCUGGUCUGAGAGGAUGAUCAGCCACACUGGGACUGAGACACGGCCCAGACUCCUACGGGAGGCAGCAGUGGGGAAUAUUAGACAAUGGGCGAAAGCCUGAUCCAGCCAUGCCGCGUGAGUGAUGAAGGCCUUAGGGUUGUAAAGCUCUUUUACCCGGGAUGAUAAUGACAGUACCGGGAGAAUAAGCUCCGGCUAACUCCGUG
RNAcentral lists this ribosomal RNA (433 nucleotides) under uncultured bacterium. RNAcentral describes it as "partial 16S ribosomal RNA". It matches the Rfam family "Bacterial small subunit ribosomal RNA", at positions 29 to 507 of the family's 1533-position model. The record is from RNAcentral.